This 413-nucleotide ribosomal RNA is filed under the name uncultured bacterium. RNAcentral's name for it is "bacterial SSU rRNA". It matches the Rfam family "Bacterial small subunit ribosomal RNA", at positions 29 to 443 of the family's 1533-position model. The record is from RNAcentral.
AACAAACGCUGGCGGCGUGCCUAAUACAUGCAAGUCGAACGGGGAAAGCCUUCGGGUGAGUACUAGUGGCGCACGGGUGAGUAACACGUGGGUAAUCUUCCUCGAAGCGUGGGAUAACUAGUCGAAAGAUUAGCUAAUACCACAUAAGACCACAGGAUCUGCGGAUCCAGAGGUCAAAGUUUUUCGCUUUGAGAUGAGCCCGCGCAAGAUUAGCUAGUUGGUGAGGUAAUGGCUCACCAAGGCGAUGAUCAGUAGCCGGGCUGAGAGGCUGUCCGGCCACACGGGCACUGAGACACUGGCCCGACUCCUACGGGAGGCUGCGGUCGCGAAUUUUUCUCAAUGGGCGCAAGCCUGAAGAAGCCAUGCCGCGUGCGGGACGAAGGCCCUCUGGGUUGUAAACCGCUGUCAGGGAA